CAAAGUGUGGAAUAUUCUUCACCCCAUUGUAACACUGCAAAUGCAUGAAAGAAUUUGAAAUGUGCCAGUGAACAGAAGGAUUCUGCCCAUUCUGUGCCGUAUUUUUACUUACACUUAAGUGUGCAGCUGUCUGGAAGGAGGUACAAAAUCACCAUCAUGAAAUCCAAACUGCAGCUGGCAUUAAUCAAAGCUUUGCCCUUGAACAUUCAUCACUGUGAUAUUGCUGUGACAAAGUGGACUUUUACUGCCGUUUGGGAUGGGAAGAUUUUACUUCCUUAAAUAAUUCAAGUUCUCUAGUGGUGCAGAUGCUGUGAAAAA
Molecule: long non-coding RNA, 318 nt
Organism: Pezoporus occidentalis (night parrot)
Lineage: Eukaryota; Metazoa; Chordata; Aves; Psittaciformes; Psittacidae
Exons: 2
Source: RefSeq, a predicted model, not a curated record